This 427-nucleotide ribosomal RNA is filed under the name uncultured bacterium. RNAcentral describes it as "bacterial SSU rRNA". It matches the Rfam family "Bacterial small subunit ribosomal RNA", at positions 355 to 774 of the family's 1533-position model. The record is from RNAcentral.
UGGGGAAUUUUGGACAAUGUGCGCAAGCCUGAUCCAUCCAUUCCGCGUGCGGGAAGAAGGCCUUCGGGUUGUAAACCGCUUUUGUCAGCGAAGAAAUCCUUUUAGCUAAUACCUCGGGGGGAUGACGGUACCUGAAGAAUAAUCACCGACUAACUACGUGCCAGCAGCCGCGGUAAUACGUAGGGUGCAAGCGUUAAUCGGAAUUACUGGGCGUAAAGCGUGCGCAGGCGGUUAUGCAAGACAGAUGUGAAAUCCCCGGGCUCAACCUGGGAACUGCAUUUGUGACUGCAUAGCUGGAGUGAGGCAGAGGAGGAUGGAAUAGCGCGUGUAGCAGUGAAAUGCGUAGAUAUGAGGAGGAACACCGAUGGCGAAGGCAAUCCCCUGGGCCUGCAAUGACGCUCAUGCACGAAAGCGUGGGGAGCAAACA